AUAAAUAAAUAGAGUUCUGAAGCAGGUUUUGAAUGGGGGGCAACUGUGCGACGUCGGAGAAGAAGAUGUUAUUCGCCGGAGAUUGAAGCUCCAUCUAUGUUCUGAGCUAAAUCGCUGGAAGAUGAGGAGGUUGAAAUGCCUGACUUCAAUGAGAAGUGGUUGCUGAUUCAGAUUCAGGUGAAGAAGAUACUGUUUCUGAAGAUGAUGAGGUACUCUCUGAAGUUUGCAUAGAAUGUUUUGUGUUGCCAUGUGUUAGUUUAUGCUUUGCUUUAUCUUGUUUGUUUCGGUCAUUGCUAAAUUAUUUCAUCUUUUAUGUUUAGAGUAAAUAGUCAAAUUAGUUUUUUCAAAGAUAUAAUGGAAAUUUUAUGCCUCAAGUUCGCAAAUGUGCGUUUGUUUAGUUAAAUCAGCCCCUCAUGAUUUGAGUACUACACUACUACUAACUAGACUGGUGGAACACAUUAGGACUCUUCAUAUUCAGUGAUGACGCUGUAAUUUCCAUUAUUUAAGGACUAAUGUUGUAUUGUAUCCGAAGGAUAUGUGCAGUGCAACCGUAAACAUAUCCUUGGAGAGAAUCAACAAAUUGAUAACUGUUGCAGGCAUCUGCAGCAAAGCUAAGCCAAGAUUUUCAUUGCAAUCAGUGACACAUAAAUAUGGGCACAUUGGCUCUUCUUUCUCUAAUAUUGAUAGUGGAAUUAGAUUUAGACGCUGAGCCUUCAGAAACCGAAGCUCUUCUGUAUGAAUUUAGUCUUCCCCUAAUGGCUGUUCUUUUUGACAACUUCCAAGAUAAGACUGAUCUGGUGGAAGAAUUUUCUCUUACAAGCUAAAGAAAUGGGAUUUUAUGGCAGUAAAGGUGGUCAAAGAACCAUUAUCUUCAAUCCAAGAGUUUGCGACAAUGUUGACCUUGAAGUGGGGAGCUUAAUCCGCAUUCACCCUCCAUGGUGCAUUGAUAGGUCCAAUUGCAUUUGCCAUUUUGGCUGUUGGAAAUUCAGCUGUUAUCAUUGGACUUUGGACUGCACAUGUUAUAUGGACAUACUAUUGUGUGGCAAGGUUGUAGUUUAUGUUCUAAUUCAAUCUCAAUCUUCAAUCGUUGGCCUUUGACAACAGAACAAAGAGCUUUUUUGCUCCUCUUCUUGCAACUUUUGAGGCUGUUGAAGAAAAUGUUGAAGACAAAUUUUAUCAUUGCUUCAUUGAUGGUUGUUGGUCAGCAAUUGAAACAAGCUGCACAGUGGUUCAAGAUGUCACAGACUUUUGCUUUUACUCCUAUUUUUCAUACAUGGAUAAACUAAGAAAAAAUUUAAUCCCUCAAGAAAAGCCAUUUGAUAUCAGUAUCCGCAUGAAAAAGAAAAAAAAGAAGGAAAAACAGCGCAGUUUUUUCAGAAGAAUAGUAGGUCCCACUUGCCAGAGACAGUUGUUAACAGUGAAGACUCCCCUGAACCUGUGGAUAGCGGAUCAUCAAGUGACAAUGAGGUGAGUUUGGCUGUGUUGAUGUAAAUAUCAUUUCAAGAUACCUGGACGGAAAGCUGAUUGUUUGUCAUUGCUCAUUUAGCAAGUAUACCGAGGUGAAGUUUUAAAAAUCAACCGAUUCAAUUUCCAUAGGUCAUUUGAUUAUUUGAUAUGCUUGUUAUUGCCCUGAAACUAUAUAUAGGCUUGGAGAAUGGAGACUUGUGAUGGUCUCUCACUCUUGUAAACUCUAGUAUUUUCUGUUAUUCCAUUUGAUUUAGGGAA
Trifolium pratense (red clover) is the source of this 1725-nucleotide long non-coding RNA. RefSeq lists it as uncharacterized. The transcript is spliced from 8 exons. The record is from RefSeq and is a predicted model, not a curated record. NCBI's taxonomy places the organism in Eukaryota, Viridiplantae, Streptophyta, Magnoliopsida, Fabales, Fabaceae.